Mustela putorius furo (domestic ferret) is the source of this 137-nucleotide small nucleolar RNA. NCBI's taxonomy places the organism in Eukaryota, Metazoa, Chordata, Mammalia, Carnivora, Mustelidae. The record is from Ensembl.
UGCCUCUGUAUCAGAAUUUAAAAUGAGGUGAGAUGCCUUUUAUUCCUCAGUCAGGGUUGGAGGCUAUGAUCUGCCCUUGGGGAUCAUGGUCAGGGCUGCCACAAGCUGGCAGGCUUGUUUUCCUGCCUCAGACAUCU